GAUGAACGCUGGCGGCGUGCCUAAUACAUGCAAGUCGAGCGAACAGACGAGGAGCUUGCUCCUCUGACGUUAGCGGCGGACGGGUGAGUAACACGUGGAUAACCUACCUAUAAGACUGGGAUAACUUCGGGAAACCGGAGCUAAUACCGGAUAAUAUAUUGAACCGCAUGGUUCAAUAGUGAAAGACGGUUUUGCUGUCACUUAUAGAUGGAUCCGCGCCGCAUUAGCUAGUUGGUAAGGUAACGGCUUACCAAGGCAACGAUGCGUAGCCGACCUGAGAGGGGGAUCGGCCAAACUGGAACUGAGACACGGUCCAGACUCCUACGGGAGGCAGCAGUAGGGAAUCUUCCGCAAUGGGCGAAAGCCUGACGGAGCAACGCCGCGUGAGUGAUGAAGGUCUUCGGAUCGUAAAACUCUGUUAUUAGGGAAGAACAAAUGUGUAAGUAACUAUGCACGUCUUGACGGUACCUAAUCAGAAAGCCACGGCUAACUACGUGC
This 498-nucleotide ribosomal RNA is filed under the name uncultured bacterium. RNAcentral's name for it is "partial 16S ribosomal RNA". It matches the Rfam family "Bacterial small subunit ribosomal RNA", at positions 28 to 508 of the family's 1533-position model. The record is from RNAcentral.